This 1326-nucleotide long non-coding RNA is filed under the name Saimiri boliviensis boliviensis (Bolivian squirrel monkey). Its description in RNAcentral is "lncRNA (ENSSBOG00000036721.1)". The record is from RNAcentral. Lineage: Eukaryota; Metazoa; Chordata; Mammalia; Primates; Cebidae.
GUUUUAACUCAGAUGUUUCUAUUUUAAUAUUUUGAAUAGUAUAACAUUUCCAAUAUGAAAUUUUUAUACUUGUCAGGGAUUCAAAGCAGUGAAUUUUGAGACUCUGAGACAUUUCCGGUGUCUUACGUGCUAGUUGGAGUUCUGGUAUUUACCUAAAGGAAUGCUUUACUUAGAUGCCAGUUUCUGUCUUAACUUUAGAGAAUUCCUGUUAAUGUUAUUACACUGAUGAUCUAAAGCCAAUGAGAUGUUCUAAUGAGCAGACUAUGUAUGCAUGUGUGUGUAUGGGUGUGUUUGUGACAUCUUUGAUUAUUAAAAACUAGGAAAGUAAUCAUUCACAACUGGAAGACAGUCUUUUAAAAUGGUGGUUUUGAGACUUUUUUGGUAUAAAAGUCUUUCAAAAAAAUAAUUGCAUAGAGGUGACCAACGUCAUGAACAUCAUUGAGGCUACCAACAUCAUUGGCUGUCUUCCAUUUCAGUACCCUUUGGAAAUCCUUAACUAUAUUGUGAUGCUCAGAAAUAAUAUGCAGAAUUUGUGUCUUAAAAUGGAAGAUUCUGAGAGUUCUGAUGAAUCUGCAGUCAGCAUUUUCCACUGUGUGUGGAGUGGAUUCAUUCACUAAACCAGAUGAUGAAGACUCGACUUACUACCGAGGUAAAGUGAUCUCUUGCAAAAUUUUCUCUUACAGUCAACUUUUGCAUAGUAUUUACUUUUAAAAUUUAGCAGUGGUUUAUCUAUCAUUUUUUCUGUUGGUAAUACAAAGUUGGUCAGAGAAAACCAUAGACAUAUGGCUAGUUGAUUUAAAAAUUUUAUUUAAUGUUGGUAACUAACAAAAUAUUGAUGUGUACUGCGACAGGGUGUGGGCUGAACAAAAAUGAACUGGGAGAUACACAGCAACAAUCACAUUAGGAAAUGCUUUAAUUAAAUAUUAAUAUUUUGACUUUUAAAUCAUACUAGUGUGACAUCUAUAUUUUUGCCAGUAUAAAUCUUCAGGAUCAAAUUACUUGUGGUACUGACGGAAUCUCCCUGGCACCUUUUAGUUGAAAAACGGUACCACAAAUAGCAUAUAGAUGUUUUUCUUGGACACUUAUUAUUUGGGUAUUAUAUACCAGGCAGGAUUGUCCCCCUACUUACAUUAUUGGUUCUGUAGUGAGAGUGAAAUAUUAAAAAUUGUAGAAAAGGCCGGGCGCGGUGGCUCAAGCCUGUAAUCCCAGCACUUUGGGAGGCCGAGGCGGGUGGAUCACGAGGUCGAGAGAUGGAGACCAUCCUGGUCAACAUGGUGAAACCCCGUCUCUACUAAAAAUACAAAAAACUAGCUGGGCGUGGUGGCG